GAUAACUGCCACCUCAUCCUCAUAAGGGUACGAAUAGAGGAGUCUAUAAGAAACUUUCUUGUUUGUGCCAAGGGCUAAUGUCAUGGGGGCACCAGCACAGCUAUGAUGGAGACUGAAUUUACAAGCCGGAAAUGAUAUGAUGCACCAUUUUCUUGAAAGCAAUCAGGAAUUUAAACUUUGGAUGAUCGGUAUAGCUACCGAGUACAAGGAGGUGAUUUGGGUAAAAAUGGUGGUAUAUCUUUCGCGGAAGAGGGAAACAACUCUCGUCGAUGAAGUAACUCCAUAGCUGGCAUAUGUAACUAGACAAAGCCUAGAUUGAACAUAUAGAGCAACUCAUGAUCGAUACUUCAUUCAUUUGUUUUAUUGCUUUUAGUGGAUGGCGGUGGUUGAAGUGUAU
Molecule: long non-coding RNA, 397 nt
Filed under: Capsicum annuum
Lineage: Eukaryota; Viridiplantae; Streptophyta; Magnoliopsida; Solanales; Solanaceae
Description: long non-coding RNA (CANN_LNC002023)
Source: RNAcentral